RNAcentral lists this transfer RNA (69 nucleotides) under Dicotyles tajacu (collared peccary). Its description in RNAcentral is "tRNA-Asp". The record is from RNAcentral. Lineage: Eukaryota; Metazoa; Chordata; Mammalia; Artiodactyla; Tayassuidae.
GAGAUAUUAGUAAAAACAUUACAUAACUUUGUCAAGGUUAAAUUAUAAGUGAAAACCCUAUAUAUCUCU